This 612-nucleotide ribosomal RNA is filed under the name uncultured Alphaproteobacteria bacterium. RNAcentral's name for it is "bacterial SSU rRNA". It matches the Rfam family "Bacterial small subunit ribosomal RNA", at positions 59 to 718 of the family's 1533-position model. The record is from RNAcentral. Lineage: Bacteria; Pseudomonadati; Pseudomonadota; Alphaproteobacteria.
AAGUCGAACGCAUCCUUCGGGAUGAGUGGCAGACGGGUGAGUAACACGUGGGGACGUGCCCUCCGGUCUGGGAUAACCCUGGGAAACUAGGGCUAAUACCGGAUACGUGCUUUGGCAGAAAGGUUUACUGCCGGAGGAUCGGCCCGCGUCUGAUUAGCUAGUUGGUGGGGUAACGGCCUACCAAGGCGACGAUCAGUAGCUGGUCUGAGAGGAUGAUCAGCCACACUGGGACUGAGACACGGCCCAGACUCCUACGGGAGGCAGCAGUGGGGAAUAUUGGACAAUGGGCGCAAGCCCGAUCCAGCCAUGCCGCGUGAGUGAUGACGGCCUUAGGGUUGUAAAGCUCUUUUCUCCGGGACGAUAAUGACGGUACCGGAGGAAUAAGCCCCGGCUAACUUCGUGCCAGCAGCCGCGGUAAUACGAAGGGGGCUAGCGUUGCUCGGAAUCACUGGGCGUAAAGGGCGCGUAGGCGGCGUUUUAAGUCGGGGGUGAAAGCCUGUGGCUCAACCACAGAAUGGCCUUCGAUACUGGGACGCUUGAGUAUGGUAGAGGUUGGUGGAACUGCGAGUGUAGAGGUGAAAUUCGUAGAUAUUCGCAAGACACCGGUGGCGA